This 478-nucleotide ribosomal RNA is filed under the name uncultured bacterium. RNAcentral describes it as "partial 16S ribosomal RNA". It matches the Rfam family "Bacterial small subunit ribosomal RNA", at positions 28 to 523 of the family's 1533-position model. The record is from RNAcentral.
GACGAACGCUGGCGGCGUGCUUAACACAUGCAAGUCGAACGGUAAGGCCCUUCGGGGUACACGAGUGGCGAACGGGUGAGUAACACGUGGGUGAUCUGCCCUGCACUUCGGGAUAAGCCUGGGAAACUGGGUCUAAUACCGGAUAGGACUCCUGGCUUCAUGGUUGGGGGUGGAAAGCUUUUGCGGUGUGGGAUGGGCCCGCGGCCUAUCAGCUUGUUGGUGGGGUAAGGGCCUACCAAGGCGACGGCGGGUAGCCGGCCUGAGAGGGUGACCGGGCACACUGGGACUGGGAGACGGCCCAGACUCCUACGGGAGGGAGCAGUGGGGAAUAUUGCACAAUGGGGGCAAGCCUGAUGCAGCGACGCCGCGGGAGGGAUGACGGCCUUCGGGUUGUAAACCUCUUUCAGCUAUGACGAAGCGCAAGUGACGGUAGUAGCAGAAGAAGGACCGGCCAACUACGUGCCAGCCGCCGCCGUAA